RNA transcript from Syngnathus acus (greater pipefish), 2393 nucleotides. It is a transcript of the gene named cornichon family AMPA receptor auxiliary protein 3, with no coding region annotated. Lineage: Eukaryota; Metazoa; Chordata; Actinopteri; Syngnathiformes; Syngnathidae. The record is from RefSeq and is a predicted model, not a curated record. The transcript is spliced from 8 exons.
GUGUUGCUCGCAUCAAUCCACCUGUUCGCGCGUUUGUAUAUGAUGUGCUCCCUUCUCUCCUCUCAAACGAAUGGAGCAUCCACCAGUUCGCCUCCUCUGGGUGGUUUUGCACAUCAAAUAAGCCGUCGGCAUUUUAUUUUGAUUGCUUUUUCCACAAACAAUGUUUUUCUGAAGACACCAGCCUUGCAGUCAAGACGGCGAACACAGCGGCUUCUCGUUGCGUGGACUGAUUUCGAACCAGUUUGGAAUUCUGACUCACAACACCACCGCGUGAAAGACGCAGUGGACGCGCCACUGUGAGGCUUUUCUUUUCUUUUUCCAUUUUUAUUUCUUUUUCUGCCUUUUAUUCCUUGACAUGGGCGAAGUCGUGGUACCGGUGCCACCUCGCCUUCUCGUGGCAGUGUGACAACUUUAUUGUUCAUCAUUGCCCUCUUUUUUUUUUCCUCCUCUUAAUGGGAUCGCGCUUUUUCCGGGGAAUUACCCGUCGUUUCCUUCCCCAAUUAUGUUCACUUUUGCUGCCUUCUGCUAUAUGCUGUCUCUGGUUCUCUGCGUGUCCCUCAUCUUCUUCGCAAUAUGGCAUAUAACAGCUUUCGAUGAGCUCCAGGCGGACUUUAAGGUGCCCAUCGAUCAAGGCAAUCCACUCCAUGCGAGAGAGAGACUGCGAAACAUCGAAAGGAUCUGCAACCUGCUGAGGAAGUUGGUGCUUCCAGAGUACUCGAUCCACGUACUCUUCUGUAUCAUGUUCCUGUGUGCCCAAGAAUGGCUGACUGUGGGCCUCAACAUCCCUUUGCUCUUCUACAACACAUGGAGUAGGUACUUCCAUUCCCCAACGGAUACCAAGGAGUUGAUCUACGAUCCGGCUUCGGUAAUGAACGGCGACACCCUCAAGUUCUGCCUGAAGGAGGCCUGGUGCAAGCUGUCCUUCUUUGUCCUGUCCUUCUUCUACUAUCUCUAUUGUGUGUGGAACCUGGAAAUAUCCCUCUAAUAGCUCUUACAAAUGGGAACACUUAAAAAGCUCAUACUGGACGUACUUGGUGUUUUAAACGACCGCUGGCAGCAACAAAAGCAGCACUGAGGUAUCUUUAAGAAAUGCUAGUAUGGUCUACUCCCUGGUUACCUCAUAACUGACCGAAGAGACAAAAAAAAGCCUCUGGAUACACAAACUGCCAUUUUUACAAGAGUGCUUUUUUUUUUUUUUUUGUGCCAGAGACAUAAACGCUUCCCUUUCAACUCGAAAGGGAUUCAUGCUCGACUAUACAUACAAAACUACCAUUCACAGUUUGAUUGGUCAGAACGAGUUGAUGUGAACUCUUGCAUAUAAACAUUCACGUGAACAGCUUCCUCUAGGUUGGUGCAAUUAAUUUACUGUUUGGUAGCAGUGAUGGUAGCGCACAGGAUGAAAAGCACAGUAGCAUUUGCACAGUUUGUCUCAGGCACAGCAGAUCCAGCACGCCCAUCCCGCUUCGGAACCUCAACGACCGUAGCAACAGUGAGUCAGAAACGGAGGAUGCGUGGAUGAACUGGAUCACACUGCGAAAGAAAAAAUAGUUUCGGGGAGGCACAUAAAUACAUUAGGACGGCGUGGUGGGCAUUUUGAUGUACUCUUUGUCCAAAGGCUUUUCCAGUGGAAACAUAUAGAGCAAAUGCCUUCAUGUUGUUUUCGUGUUGUUCUAUGAGAAACGUUUCUAAAACUCCCAAAUAAAUGAUCGAAGUCUACACACGCAUUUGCACAAAUCGUGUAUUUAAUCUUGCACAAUGUUUGCGAUAUUGGGCUGUGUGUUCAUGAUCAUGUAUGAUGAAGUCAGACACACCGAUGAAGGUCUUCCAUUAUGUAAAAUUUCAAACAGGGAAGCUACUGUAUGUUACAAUUUUCUAGUUCUAUUUCAACAAGGGACCAAAAUUCUCUUUGGAUACUAAUUUAUUACGCCAAGUGUGAGAUUUUAUUGCAUCCACGUUUAGCUUAAUGAUUAUUUCUUCCAGUGUUAAGAAUGAUGAAUGUGGUAGAAAUUGACAUUUUGGAAUGGAAUCAGUCACACAUUUUGAAUCUAAUAAAAGCAACUGUAGCAGCUGAUGUAGGCCACACCUCCACUGACACAAAUCACACCACCUAUGCUUGCUAUAACACACAAUUCCCUUAAAGUAAGAUUAAUAGGUUACAUAACAAAUAUCUAAUUUUGUCAAUGCAGAGCGGAUGUUUCCCAAAUAUAGUUUGCAUCCUCUGUCCUACUCCAAACACCUCCCAUUCCCAUUUCCGUCAUCAACACGGAGUAGAUUGGAAAUCCUGCAGUUCCCCCCCUGUAUUUUGUCCUAUUCCAAUUCUGGCAUUUUCUAUCCUGACUGUGUAUGUGACUUUAGAUAUUGUUUAUGAAAUAAACAUAUUUUAAAAUCAAAAA